AGGGGUAGGGUUCAGCGGCAGAGCACACACUUAGUAUGCACAACGUCCUGGGUUCAAUCCCCAGUACCUCUA
This 72-nucleotide transfer RNA is filed under the name Camelus bactrianus (Bactrian camel). It matches the Rfam family "tRNA". From Rfam's summary of the family: Transfer RNA (tRNA) molecules are approximately 80 nucleotides in length. Their secondary structure includes four short double-helical elements and three loops (D, anti-codon, and T loops). RNAcentral also lists the same sequence under 2 other names. Lineage: Eukaryota; Metazoa; Chordata; Mammalia; Artiodactyla; Camelidae. The record is from Rfam by way of RNAcentral.